RNAcentral lists this ribosomal RNA (408 nucleotides) under uncultured bacterium. RNAcentral's name for it is "partial 16S ribosomal RNA". It matches the Rfam family "Bacterial small subunit ribosomal RNA", at positions 28 to 526 of the family's 1533-position model. The record is from RNAcentral.
GACGAACGCUGGCGGCGUGCUUAACACAUGCAAGUCGAACGAAGUGGCGAACGGGUGAGUAACGCGUAAUCAACCUGCCCUUCAGGGGGGGACAACAGUGGGAAACGACUGCUAAAACCGCAUACGGACGGAGGAGAUUGCGUCGGAUUAGCUAGUUGGGGGGGUAACGGCCAACCAAGGCGAUGAUCAGUAGCCGGGCUGAGAGGAUGAACGGCCACAUUGGGACUGAGACACGGCCCAGACUCCUACGGGAGGCAGCAGUGGGGAAUCUUCCGCAAUGGACGAAAGUCUGACGGAGCAACGCCGCGUGAGUGAUGACGGCCUUCGGGUUGUAAAGCUCUGUUAAUCGGGACGCGGUACCGGAAUAGAAAGCCACGGCUAACUACGUGCCAGCAGCCGCGGUAAUUC